GACGAACGCGGCGGCGUGCUUAACACAUGCAAGUCGAACGAAGAGCGAUGGAAGCUUGCUUCUAUUAAUCUUAGUGGCGAACGGGUGAGUAACGCGUAAUCAACCUGCCCUUCAGAGGGGGACAACAGUUGGAAACGACUGCUAAUACCGCAUACGAUCUAAUCUCGGCAUCGAGGAUAGAUGAAAGGUGGCCUCUACAUGUAAGCUAUCACUGAAGGAGGGGAUUGCGUCUGAUUAGCUAGUUGGAGGGGUAACGGCCCACCAAGGCGAUGAUCAGUAGCCGGUCUGAGAGGAUGAACGGCCACAUUGGGACUGAGACACGGCCCAGACUCCUACGGGAGGCAGCAGUGGGGAAUCUUCCGCAAUGGACGAAAGUCUGACGGAGCAACGCCGCGUGAGCGAUGACGGCCUUCGGGUUGUAAAGCUCUGUUAAUCGGGGACGAAAGGCCUUCUUGCGAAAUAGUGAGAAAGGGAUUGACCGGUACCCGAAUAAAAAG
RNAcentral lists this ribosomal RNA (497 nucleotides) under Veillonella parvula. Its description in RNAcentral is "bacterial SSU rRNA". It matches the Rfam family "Bacterial small subunit ribosomal RNA", at positions 28 to 490 of the family's 1533-position model. The record is from RNAcentral. Lineage: Bacteria; Bacillati; Bacillota; Negativicutes; Veillonellales; Veillonellaceae.